CCUACGGGAGGCAGCAGUGAGGAAUAUUGGACAAUGGGCGAAAGCCUGAUCCAGCCAUGCCGCGUGCAGGAUGACUGCCCUAUGGGUUGUAAACUGCUUUUAUAUAGGAAGAAAAACUUUCUCGUGAGAAAGCUUGACGGUACUAUAAGAAUAAGGAUCGGCUAACUCCGUGCCAGCAGCCGCGGUAAUACGGAGGAUCCAAGCGUUAUCCGGAAUCAUUGGGUUUAAAGGGUCCGUAGGUGGACAAAUAAGUCAGAGGUGAAAUCCUGCAGCUCAACUGUAGAACUGCCUUUGAUACUGUUUGUCUUGAGUUAUUAUGAAGUGGUUAGAAUGUGUAGUGUAGCGGUGAAAUGCAUAGAUAUUACACGGAAUACCGAUUGCGAAGGCAGAUCACUAAUAAUUAACUGACACUGAGGGACGAAAGCGUGGGUAGCGAACAGGAUUAGAUACCCUGGUAGUCCACGCCGUAAACGAUGGUCACUAGCUGUUUGGACUUCGGUCUGAGUGGCUAAGCGAAAGUGAUAAGUGACCCACCUGGGGAGUACGUUCGCAAGAAUGAAACUCAAAGGAAUUGACGG
This 578-nucleotide ribosomal RNA is filed under the name uncultured bacterium. RNAcentral describes it as "bacterial SSU rRNA". It matches the Rfam family "Bacterial small subunit ribosomal RNA", at positions 338 to 916 of the family's 1533-position model. The record is from RNAcentral.